Long non-coding RNA from Vigna angularis (adzuki bean), 978 nucleotides. RefSeq lists it as uncharacterized. The transcript is spliced from 3 exons. NCBI's taxonomy places the organism in Eukaryota, Viridiplantae, Streptophyta, Magnoliopsida, Fabales, Fabaceae. The record is from RefSeq and is a predicted model, not a curated record.
GACUAUUUCAUUUCUGUUCUCUAGCAAUUACAGCUUCUGGGAGAUUGUUUUGAUGUUUUUGAUUGGACUUGUGAUAAGCACCCAAAAAUUUUGGGGGAGCCAGUCUUUAAAACUAGCCAUUAAGGAAGGAAGAACCAAACACUUAAAUACUCCACCAAACAUAUCAUACUACUCGAUAUAGGACUUAGACACUCAAUAGUAUCAAAGUUCCUAUCAAUUUGUCUCAUAUUAUUCUGCCAUUUUUUUCUUCGUGAUACUUUGCAUUUUGUCUGGAUAUUCUUUUCUUUUUUUGAUAGGAAUGAGAAGAGAUGGAGAGUUUAUGAGAGAAGGAAGAGAAUUACUUAGUUAAAUAACCUAACUGCUUAUUACAGUUAGGAAGGGCGGGAAUAACGGUUGUAUAAAUAGUUGGGUGUUUAGGAAGAGAAGGACUUUUGGUAGUUGAUUGUGAAAGGGGUGAAGCCCUUGUUUCUGUAAGUGUACAAAGAAUUCUUUUGUGAAUAAUACACAAAAUUGUUUCCAUUCUUAUUAUCUUUCUAUUCUGAGAGGUAAACUAGAGGGUUCUUGAUUAGGUUUCUUAAUCAGAAACCUGUCAUUUUUGCUGUUUGAACGGCGGCGACGGCGGACGGGUCGGAAAGAAGCGACGCGUCGCGUCUGGUGCGGAGGCUUCGGAGGACGAGACCACUAGGGUUUGCUUGCGCUUCUCAAGGCGCACCUAACCCUUGACUUCGCCGGAGAAAGCGAUGUUGGGCGGCAGCGGCGGCGACAACGGCAGACAGCGGAGCGAACAACGGAAAUGACAGAGAGACGAUGCCGUCGACGAUAGACGAAGAAGACACAAGGAUCUCCUCGUCAAAGCCUCUGAAAGACCCUUCCGAAAAAGAUUCUUGGUUUUUCGUUGCCAAUACUGAAACCAAUGUACAACAUCGCCUUCCAUGUUGAUCAAGGCCAACUUUAAGCAUUCUAUAUCAAAAAAUAUCG